Non-coding RNA from Podarcis lilfordi (Lilford's wall lizard), 64 nucleotides. Lineage: Eukaryota; Metazoa; Chordata; Lepidosauria; Squamata; Lacertidae. The record is from the annotation of a GenBank genome assembly.
AUACACACACACACACAUAUAUAUAUAUAUAUAAUAUUAUAUAUAUGUGUGUGUGUGUGUGUAU